This 495-nucleotide ribosomal RNA is filed under the name uncultured bacterium. RNAcentral describes it as "partial 16S ribosomal RNA". It matches the Rfam family "Bacterial small subunit ribosomal RNA", at positions 28 to 507 of the family's 1533-position model. The record is from RNAcentral.
GACGAACGCUGGCGGCGUGCCUAAUACAUGCAAGUAGAGCGCUGAAGGAGGAGCUUGCUUCUCUGGAUGAGUUGCGAACGGGUGAGUAACGCGUAUGUAACCUGCCUGGUAGCGGGUGAUAACUAUUGGAAACGAUAGCUAAUACCGCAUAAUAGUAGAUGUUCCAUGACAUUUGCUUAAAAGGUACAAUUUCAUCACUACCUGUUGGACCCGCGUUGUAUUAGCUAGUUGGUGGGGUAAAGGCGCAACAAGGCGACGAUACAUAGCCGACCUGGGAGGGUGAUCCGCCACACUGGGACUGAGACACGGCCCAGACUCCUUCGGGGAGCAGCAGUAGGGAAACCUCGGCAAAUGGCCGAAGUCUGACCGAGCAACGGCGGGUUGGUGAAGAUGGGUUUCGGGUCGUAAAGCUCUGUUGUAAGAGAAGAACGAGUGUGAGAGUGGACAGUUCACACUGUGACGGUAUCUUACCAGAAAGGGACGGCUAACUACGUG